GGUCGUAGGUUCGAUUCCCACCGUGGCCGGGCAUAUUUUUCAAGCUCGCUCGGUGUGGAUAUGCACUCAGAGUGACAUCACAAACAUUAUAUUCACCUGAGUACACAACACCAACGCAGAAAAAAAAUAUAUUACUAGAUUACAUUGGCAUUGAAGGAACUAGAUUUUGUUCCGAAAUAUCACUUACUCGAACCAUCCUGACCGCGUAGCUCAGUUGGCAUCUGGAGCAUUGGGCUAGUAUUCCAAAGGUCAUAUUUUAGUUCCAUUUUCUUGUAUUAUAAUAACAUUUUUGCUAUUAUGGGACAUUGAGCUUUAUAAAUAAAAACUUUUGGAAGAUGGCUUUCACUGCAUGACAGACAGCCUACUUUUGGUCUGUUUAUAUGAGGGGGUAAUGGGGGGUACCAAUCCUGAAGCACGAGAAAUAAUAUGCAGCUAUCUUGAAACAUGAAAAAUAAAAGAAGGAAGUCCUGAAGCAUGUAUAAUAACAAAUUUAUUGCGAAUCUGAAAUGUAAAGGGAACAUGAAAUGUAAGCAACAACCAUACAGUCCAUACUUAGAGGUCUUAAAAGUGAAUAUAAACAGUCCGUACUAGGCGGGGUGUUCAUCUGUUUGUUUACAAUUGCGUCGAUGUUCAUGAUUUAUAAAAUUUGAAACCUGCGUUCCCCAAUCAAAACAUAGCUAAAAUCCAGAACUAAAUUUAAUUUAAUAGAAUAUAUUGUCCAGAAACGAGAAAUAACCGUCUUAAAUACUGCUGAAAACGGAGAACGGGAAUUGAAUACACCGCAGGCACGAUACACGAGUCGUACUCGACAUCCGACAUCCAUGUCGGGAUCGAAAGACGUUUAAUAAAAAGAUGACUGAACGAAGAACGAAUAAUUAAAUUACCCCAAUACGGAACACGAAAAUAUCCCAUUACCCCCCUCUUAUAUGGAGUUAACCCAACCUAGAUUAGCUAUAUUUCUUUAAUUGUUGAACAAUCUCUUUGCGUGUUGAACAAUCUCCAGUGGCUUUUCAUUGACCAUCACUGGAUCGAAUUGGGGAUUGGUACUGGCAAAUGAGAUCCUGAGCUUUUUUCAUUUUGCCUCGUUCAGUUGGAAUUUAUUAGCAUGAGCUUUAUCUGAAACCUCUGUCACUGCUUUUCAGAACGUGCUCGCAUUGCCUCUUUCCACACACUCUGACAGUAGCAGUGGCGGAAACUUUGCAAAAUAUUAGGGGGGGGGAGGGCGAGUGCCAAAGGUGCCAGGUGGUAUGGGGAAUGCUCCCCCAGAAAUAUUUUAAAAUUUGGAUCCCUGAAAUGGCAUUUACAGUACAGCAUUCUGAGACACAUUUUGUAAGAAAUUUCUGCAUUUUGUUAUAAAUCAUAUGCUAAGCAUAAAAAAACGACAUUUCAUAGAAAAUAUUCUAGAUGAUUUGUUAAUGGAAUUGCAAGGUGGUUUAACUCUUUCUCUCGGCAAGUCCCACGCAUGUCAACUUCUAGAAGCUGACAACUUUGUAUGUUUAUAUCUUCGGUUCAGUGCAUGCUAUGAAGACAAUACCACCAUUCGAUUCAGUGAAACAAUAUCAA
Molecule: non-coding RNA, 1563 nt
Organism: Paramuricea clavata
Lineage: Eukaryota; Metazoa; Cnidaria; Anthozoa; Malacalcyonacea; Plexauridae
Source: the annotation of a GenBank genome assembly